ACCUGCCUCAGCGCAGGAA
This 19-nucleotide ribosomal RNA is filed under the name Ulvella repens. Its description in RNAcentral is "partial 5.8S ribosomal RNA". The record is from RNAcentral. Lineage: Eukaryota; Viridiplantae; Chlorophyta; Ulvophyceae; Ulvales; Ulvellaceae.